Long non-coding RNA from Peromyscus eremicus (cactus mouse), 234 nucleotides. RefSeq lists it as uncharacterized. The record is from RefSeq and is a predicted model, not a curated record. The transcript is spliced from 2 exons. NCBI's taxonomy places the organism in Eukaryota, Metazoa, Chordata, Mammalia, Rodentia, Cricetidae.
GAUCGAGCCUCUUUGUUUCCACAGCAGCCAUUGAAUAAUACUUAAACAGCAUGCAAACCACCAACUCAUGAAGCUUUCCACCUCUCAGAGUCCGUCAGAACAGCAUAGAGCAGCUGGGUAUGGUGGCUCCCACCUAUAAUCCUGGCCAUUUGAGGGACUGAAGCAGGAUUGCCACAACUCAAGACCACAGAAAUCUCCGCAGACAACAACAAAAAUAAAAUAACAAAGGCCUCA